RNAcentral lists this ribosomal RNA (207 nucleotides) under uncultured bacterium. RNAcentral describes it as "partial 16S ribosomal RNA". It matches the Rfam family "Bacterial small subunit ribosomal RNA", at positions 568 to 774 of the family's 1533-position model. The record is from RNAcentral.
CGUCUAGGCGGACUGGCAAGUCAGGUGUGAAAUCCCCCGGCUCAACCGGGGAAUUGCACUUGAAACUGCCGAUCUUGAGUACGGGAGAGGAAAGCGGAAUUCCUGGUGUAGCGGUGAAAUGCGUAGAUAUCAGGAAGAACAUCGGUGGCGAAGGCGGCUUUCUGGACCGAUACUGACGCUAAAGCGCGAAAGUGUGGGGAGCAAAUA